This 497-nucleotide ribosomal RNA is filed under the name uncultured bacterium. RNAcentral's name for it is "partial 16S ribosomal RNA". It matches the Rfam family "Bacterial small subunit ribosomal RNA", at positions 28 to 507 of the family's 1533-position model. The record is from RNAcentral.
GAUGAACGCUGGCGGCGUGCCUAAUACAUGCAAGUCGAGCGAACGGACGAGAAGCUUGCUUCUCUGAUGUUAGCGGCGGACGGGUGAGUAACACGUGGAUAACCUACCUAUAAGACUGGGAUAACUUCGGGAAACCGGAGCUAAUACCGGAUAAUAUUUUGAACCGCAUGGUUCAAAAGUAAAAGACGGUCUUGCUGUCACUUAUAGAUGGAUCCGCGCUGCAUUAGCUAGUUGGUAAGGUAACGGCUUACCAAGGCAACGAUGCAUAGCCGACCUGAGAGGGUGAUCGGCCACACUGGAACUGAGACACGGUCCAGACUCCUACGGGAGGCCGCAGUAGGGAAUCUUCCGCAAUGGGCGAAAGCCUGACGGAGGAACGCCGCGUGGGUGAUGAAGGUCUUCGGAUCGUAAAACUCUGUUAUUAGGGAAGAACAUAUGUGUAAGUAACUGUGCACAUCUUGACGGUACCUAAUCAGAAAGCCACGGCUAACUACGUG